Anopheles farauti is the source of this 75-nucleotide non-coding RNA. NCBI's taxonomy places the organism in Eukaryota, Metazoa, Arthropoda, Insecta, Diptera, Culicidae. The record is from Rfam.
UGACGGAAACCCGUAGAUCCGAACUUGUGCUGUUUGUUCGAUUGUCACAAGAACGGAUAUACGGGAUUCUGUCGA